AUCUUUUAUGGUUUAACCCCCCCGGAGGUCACACGCAGAACCUCAAGAGUCCGGAGUAAACGUCUGGUGUCUACGGCUAGGCCUCUCGGUAGCAGGCCUUUGGGAUUUUCUGCUGCUGGGCUGAGUGGGCGACCUGGUCCGAGGUCAAAAGAGCUUCAAGUUUGCUGGAGAGGAGUGUGUGAACCACCGGCCAGGCCUAUUGAAGGGAAGACCCCCACCCCAACUAUAAAGGGGUAGUCUGGGGAGGAGGAGGAGCCACAGGACUGAAGCACUGGGAAUGUGUAAGGUACUGCCUAACCUGUGCUUCUGAGCCGGAAUCUCCUGGCAUUGCAAUAUUUUACGUACGAGGAGAGAUCAGUGCAGAGUGGUAAUGGGGGUGUGCCGGUAUGUAAACUAUAAAGUAGGAAGCUUUCACCUUGUUUGUCUCUGUCAGAUUGACCUUGAUAGAAUGAAACGAUGCACUCCCAGCUAGCUAUUACCCACUCUAUCCAAAUACAAUAUUUGCUCCCAUUGACUGACAUUUGAAUGCUAUAUUCUUUUUAAAUGAUAGUGUAUGUACAAUAUAUGUACAGUUAUAGUCAACAGUUUUGCAUCACCCUAUAGAAUUAACACAUUUUGCUUCAUGAAGUUGAAUGAAACCUGCUAAAUAAUGUUACAUUAACACAUUGAAUUACAUGCUACUUUGUAGUUUUUCAUAUACAUAAUGAAAAACUGACAAAAAUUGAACAAUGUGACAUUUUGAAAUCUAACAUGAAAUACACUACUAUUAUGGCUUCCGGUAGACUUUUGCAAUAUCAUUUUGUGGUUACUUUGAUUACAUGAGGUUAAGUAAAUGAUCAAAAUUAUGUUGAUAUACUUUAAAAUGAUGUCUCAAUCCUAAAAUUCUAGGUAAAACAUUUGGCCAUGGUUAUAUGUGUAAGAAAACAUAUUAUAAAGAUAAAAACUGCAUUUCCGAAUAUUAACAAGAACAGUUAGGUAGCACUGUUAGACGCUGACAAAGUGUUUGUUAAAAACUUUAAUUAGUACAAGCCUAUCCCAGAGGCCUGCGAUGGCAGGGAGUGUAAAUGGAGAAGCUGUCCCAGCUUGCUGGCUCCACAGUGGGCCACAUCUCACGCACAGAUGGGCUGCUGAAGAAACUGUGAAUGGACAAAUGAUAACAGAAUAUGCCGAGAUUCCAACAACAGCUCAUUAGCAAUCUGUCAGAGGUUUUUUUAAUUUGUGCACUGGUGUACAUAAUGCAGUGAAACAACAUAAUCAUACGAUAUAAUCUAUGCAAUGCAUAAUUUAAUUGAAAAGGGGCAUUCUUUUUUUUGUGUGUCUCUUGGAAAAAUGACGAAAAUAGUUGCCAACUAAACCACUUUUGUUGUAUCAAUUGUUUUUCUGCUGAGGGCUAUACUGUUUUAAAGUCAUAUUUUCUAAUUCAUUUGCAUAUAAUUUAUGAAAUUAUGCACAGUCUGACUGGUUACUUUGGCAACCCUACAAGCUGUAUAACCUUUUAUUAUUAUUAUUAUUAUUAUUAUUAUUAUUAUUAUUAUUAUUAUUAUUAUUAUUAUUAUUAUUAUUUCUAUUGCAUGUAAUAUACCAUUUAUUUAUUUAUUUAUUUAUUUUAGCUUUGAAGAUCUACUUGAGGGAAUAUUAACUGUAAGUUUUUUUUCUGGUCUGCAUUCCUAAGACAGUUGGAUCUGAGUUAAUUAGCUGUAUACCUGUAGGCAUUCUACUAUUAUCUUUUGUUUUAAAUUAUUUCAUUCGGAUGGGAUUUUAGCCGUGUUUGUAAUUGAAAUGUUCUCCUGCUACCCUUUUUAUUUAUUUAUUUAUUUAUUUAUUUAUUUAUUUAUUUAUUUGCAUGUGAAUUGUGAUGUGAGCUUUAAAAGUCUCCGGUCUAUUAGCCAGUGCUGCUCAUCAAGGUUCAGACAGCGUUCACCAGCCCAUUUGACUUACCAGGUGUAUUUAUGCUGAACUGUCAUAAGCUACAAUAGGAAGAUCUCUCAUGUUUCCUUGGGGUGCUUUUAACUCAGUCCAAUCAAGCCUGAUCCCCCACAUUGAGGCUUUCACCGCUAAAGAGCACCCCUUCCCAUCUUCAAGGGUACAGUAGCAGUGUCCCCCACCUGGGAUUGAACCCAUGACCCUCCAGUCAAGAGUCCAGAGUCCUAACCACUACUCCACACUGCUACCAUCUCCACUCUUGGAAAAUAAAUAUUGAAUAUUAUUUGCAGAUGCAGUUGUUUUAUUUUCUGUUGAUACAUUUGACCAAAAUACUGUACGUCAGUCAUACAAGUAAACCAUGUAUUCCCACACUCCAAAGCUAGAAAGAAUUGUAUGCAAGUCAAUGUCCUUUAAGGUUUUUAUUGAGGUAUAAAAGUGUAUGUAAAGUAAGACAGUAAACUUCAGCCAAUCGUUGAUCAUUAUCAUUUUUUAAAAAUCUUAUUAAAAAGUUUUUGAAACAAAGUUUCCACCUGUCAGAUAUGAUACCUCCAAACCUGUGGAUUUCCAGAUGAAAAGUGUGGUUUCCAAGAAAACAUCAAGCUUACAGAUCUACAAACAACUUUGCUUAAAGGAUUAUGUAUCUUACAAAGCAAAUACUGGUCAAAUUUAGCCUGGGGCAGUUUUAUAAAAGGAGAUGUACUGAGAAUCUUUCACACAGAUGUACAAAGAGGCUUAGAGAGUACUUGAGUUAUAAAAAGAGGUAUACACCUAAAAUUCAAGAUAAUACAAAACUGUUCAAUGUUUAGUUGCCCUUAUGAAGUUCUUCAUAAAUGUCAUCCUGUUACAGAGAUAAUAAAGGUCUAUCAUUUGUAAGAUAUAAAACAUUAAUAAAUGUGCUUAGCUACAGAGUACAGUGAUCACUAAAAUGUAUAAUGUUUGUGCAAGAUUAUGAAGUACAGAAUGAAUAUAGAUAUGAGUUCUGUACGUUUUGUUGCUGUUCUACAAAGUAGUGCGAAUGUAAAGAAGUGGUUCAUUUUCUCAAUUGCUUUCAAUGAGUUCCUUCAAGAAGAUCCUUCAAGAAGCUGCUUGAUGAGAUUCUGGGAUCAAUAAGCUACUAACAACCAAACGAGCAAGAUGGGCCGAAUGGCCUCCUCUUGUUUGUAAACUUUCUUAUGUUCUUAUGUUCUUAUUAGGAUUGUUUGUGUAUGGAGCAUGGGGCUGUGAGAGGGGAGGCCAUGGGAAAUGGAGUACCACAGAGCAAAGACUGCUGGGAAAUGUAGUUUAUUUAGGCAGGCAAGGUGAAACACUGCUAUUGAGUCAGCUAUAAGCUCUCAUUGAAGAACCAGGUUGUGCAUUGGUGAGGAGGUUUGAGGGGAGGAGUUAACCCCCUUUAUAAGCAGUUAUGCAGCAGCAGGAAAGGAAAAGACAGGAGGGAUGACAACAGGGCAGACCGGAGAAGGAGAGACGCAACUGGGAGACAGAUGAAAUACAGGUUGGAAGCAGAGUGCAGGAGGAAGCAUUGUGGGAAAUCCUUUUCCAUGUGGACUUGGACUUGGACUGGGCUGUAGACGCAAGAGGCACUGGAACUACCCUGGAUAAAGAGGAAAUCUGCGGUUCAUAAAGGGAAGUGUCCAUCGUGUGCAUGCACAGCCAUUUUAUUCCCAGUUGUAUUUUUGCACCUUGUUUUUAUGCUAGUUUAGCCUGUUUUAUCCCAACUGUUUUAUUAGUAUUUUAACAGGUUAGUGUCUCUAGAGAGAGAGAGAGCGCUUUUAUUGGGAUUUUAGCACAGGUUUUAAAUGAAGCAUUUUAACCGAGUGUGUUUUAGAUGGCUCAAUUUGGCAAAGAGGGAAGAAGAGGUGGCGAGGGACUUACCGUUUUUAAAGCUUUUUACCAGCGUGGUUGUUUCUCUGCCCCUCCCUGAUAGGUACAGUGGAGGAGCCUCAGGGGCUGCUGGAUCCAACCAUUGCGCUGACGCUACACACCCAGGAGGAUUGGACUCAACAGCGGACAGCUCGGCCGGAGUCUAGUGGGCGGGGCCUCUGCAUCAUCAGUUGUAUUUUCCCUCUUGUUGUUUUGAUACUUUGUGCCGUAGCCCAGUGGUGGGCGCUCUUUUGAUUUUUAUACUUUCCCACGCUAGCCAAUUAGUGGGUGGUGGCCAUUUUGCUGAAGUUUUAACUUUUUUUGCCAUUUUUUUUAUAAUUAAUAAAUCUUGUUUUAAUUAUGUUGCUGGUGUUGUCUGUCCCUGGGCGGGUUGGUCUCCAUUCUCCUACCUAUGUUGCAAAUUAAACGAACCUGUGCAAAUUGACGCUUUUAUUGUUGUAUACUGGGUCCUGGUGCCCACUACCACCAGGUGGCGUAGUCGGACUACAUAUAUAUAUUUUUACUGCCUUGCCACCGUGAAUCGCGACACCAGCACAUGUACCGCUGUCAAGGUUCAUUUUCCAGUAGGUUAAAAAGAAUAAAUAUUGGUUGUUAAAUCAUAAACUAGGCCCAUGUUCAUUGAAUAGGUGUGUGUUUGUGUGACCUCAAAACAACAAUGUACAAAACACGAGGAAUCAGAAAUCUUAAGCUGUUGAAACAGGCUACCAGGACACAGUAGAUGACAAAACAAAUGCAGACACACACACACACACAUACACAUGCACGUACGAUUUCCUUGUACAGCAUCAUGCCGGACAAGGUGUCAGAAGGCCACGGUACCUUUUCAUAGUGGUUGACCUUGAGAGAUAUAGAUUUAUAAACUGUCAAACGUUUCUUAGAUGAUGAACACAAAAAAUUAUAAGGGAUAACAGACUAGCUGCAUUAAGUAGGUUUUGGUUGUCUUAUUGGCAUAAUUCAGAAAUAUCUAUAUAUAUUGUUUAUUCAUGUAUUUUUUAUAUAAGGCUCGUUUGUUAUCCUCUAUAGCAGGGGUAGGGAGUUCUGGUCUUGGAGUGCUGUUCCAGUCCAGGUUUAGAAGGUAUAAUUUAAAAAAGUCCUUUAGAACCA
Acipenser ruthenus (sterlet) is the source of this 4908-nucleotide long non-coding RNA. RefSeq lists it as uncharacterized. The record is from RefSeq and is a predicted model, not a curated record. The transcript has 3 exons. NCBI's taxonomy places the organism in Eukaryota, Metazoa, Chordata, Actinopteri, Acipenseriformes, Acipenseridae.